AACAACAUGAAUCAAUUUUUUUAGUUUUUUUAUGUUUUUUAGUUUCUUUACUGUUUGAUUCUUAUUGAUUGAUUUAGCUGUUAGUUCUUUAAACUACGGUCUUCGCUUUUGUGCUCUUUCAGUUCAAUUAAAAUGGGUUUGUUUGUUUUUACUUUUUUUUGUACUAUUUGAUUCUUUAUUGAUUGCCCCUUUUGUUGAUUUUGUUGUUCUUGGCUCUUUGCAAAUUACAGUCUUUGCUUUUGUGCUCUUUCAGUUAAAAUUUAAUUGGGUUUGUCUGUUUUUACUUUUUUUCUUUUGUACUGUUUGAUUCUUAUUGAUUGCUACUUUUAUUAAUUUUACUGUUCUUAGCUAUUGGCAAACUGCGCAACAUUUGCUUUUUGUGUUCUUUCAGCUCAAUUAAAGACUAAAUUUUACCUGUAUAUAUGUUCAAAUUUAUUUAUGUUCCUUUUGAAAUCCUAUUUUACUUAUUUAUAUUUUCCUUUUCACUUUGGUAUUAAAUACUUUUAUUGGUAAAUAUACCAAAUGAUGUUAUUCAACUUGUUUUAGAGAAGGAGUUUGGUCGAAGCAUGGGUGAAAUUUUUGAGAAUUUUGAUGUAAAUCCUCUCGGUUCAGCUUCGAUCGCACAGGUGCGCUCUUAUCAGGUAGCGUUGAAAGUAUUUAAAACGGAAGACGCCUUUUCUUUACUUAGUUGAAGCAGAUAAAUUCUCCAUAUUGUCCACACGUCAUUGUGUUAUCUGGUGCAGAAUAAUGAACUUGGUCAGACUUGUGAAAGCAGUUUGUGCCCGCCCCUCCAUUCGUGAAAUAAUGGGGCCUUUGCAGGUCCAGGCAUUUCAGCAUGAUUUCGUUCCUAGAGAUCCCAAUGCUAAGUCUAAAAGGUUCAAAUACCCUCAAGUUUAUGAUCCAUAUGGCCCAAGGCCUCCACCGUCUGAUAAGGUUGUUGAACUGGCAGAGCGAAUUGCAUUAUAUUUUGUAGUUUAGGACUUGGUGUUGUCUUUAUUGGUUCGAUAGACAAGCAUAAAGGCUGUAAUUAUUCUAACAUGCGGAAAGUUUGUGAUGGAGUAGAGGAAAGCAUUCACUAUUGUAGUUUUCCUCAAUAAGAAGGAAAGGUAUUCUUCAUCUUUGUUGUAAGGAAAGCAUCCACUAUUGUAGUUUUCCUCAAUAAUAAGGAAAGGUAUUCUUCAUCUUUCUUGUAAUUAUUCAUCAGUGACUUAUUGAUCAAUGCUAUUUGUUCCAAAAGUUUUCUGGUUAGAAUUAUGUGGACAUUUUAUUAUCUUAAUUAUAACUUGCUCAAAGCCUGCAGGUUUAUCUUCUAUCAAGAGACUAUUAUUGUUUGAAGUUGGAGUUUGAACAUGGAAAUGGGCAGGUUUGUUUUGGUUAUGAAGAAAUGGCUGCAUAAUUGGAGAUGGACUUUCAAAAUCUGAAUACAGUGAGAAAUAUGUCAAGCCUGAAGAUAUUGUAGGAGCAGAAGGAGUGAAGUCAAGUGACGAAAAACUGAGUGAAGAUGAAUAUGCUGCCUCGGAGGAUGAGGAAAUCGCCGGAAAUAUAGAUCUUUUAGCACAUAUAACGCCCUGCAUACUCGCAAUGAAAAUUGUCUUGUAUUGUACAUGAUGUUCAGCUCCAAGAAAAUUCGAACACAACAGAACCGGGGAAUAUGUGGAAAAAUUCCUACUUACCCCUUUUUGUCAUUACUUUCCAUGGAUGUUUGUGUAGAUUAAUCCAUUGUUGUUCAAUAAUUCAAAUAUUUAUCCACUGCUGAGACUUUAAAAAGCAAUUCUCUCAUAUGCUCCUACUCCUUAUGUGCCUGCAUCAAUUGUACUACCGUUUAUUAUGCUUUGUUAGUAUUCAUUUAUACAUUAGUUGAUCUAAGUUUGGUGAUGACUGCCAAUGGAAUUUGUAUCUCCCAUGUCUCCAACAUUUUAUGGUGGAAUCCAUUUUGCAUGGCUUUUGAUUUGGUCUACAAACUUUUGGUUGGCUAGGGUAGUCUCUUAGAGAAGUUAAAACAUGGGUUUGUUUGAUGUAUAAAUGUUUGAUAUUUUUCAUAUAUAUAUAUAAAUGAGAAUAAUUAUUGCUGUUGGAUCAA
This is a long non-coding RNA of Gossypium raimondii (Peruvian cotton), 2080 nucleotides long. RefSeq lists it as uncharacterized. NCBI's taxonomy places the organism in Eukaryota, Viridiplantae, Streptophyta, Magnoliopsida, Malvales, Malvaceae. The transcript is spliced from 3 exons. The record is from RefSeq and is a predicted model, not a curated record.